This is a long non-coding RNA of Gossypium arboreum, 1659 nucleotides long. RefSeq lists it as uncharacterized. Lineage: Eukaryota; Viridiplantae; Streptophyta; Magnoliopsida; Malvales; Malvaceae. The transcript has 3 exons. The record is from RefSeq and is a predicted model, not a curated record.
CUUAGGGGGGUAAUGAUCUUAGCUAUUAGAGGACCGACGAACUUCUGUAAUGGCCAUUUUCUUUCCCUCUUUAAGCAUUUGUUACUUGGGGAAGUUGGUUAUCAAAUUUGUUGGGCAAUUCAAUAUUCUCUCUUUCUUUUUCUCAAUUCUCUUCCCUUUCUCUUUUCUUCUCUCUAUUGUUUUUCUUUCGAUUUUCUAGUUGCAUCAAAGGUAUCGGAGCUUCGACGAUCCCCAUGGUUGGCGAUGGGGUCACUACUCAGCUGCAAAGGAAUGUUGGAGUGCUGCAAUAGGAGGUUGUUAAGCUCCAAGGUGAACUUGCACAAUGGUAUGCUAAGUUGGAGACCGGAUUCAAGGAAUUCAAGGAAUUCAAGGAUGAUUUCAAGGGCGAGUUGAGAUUUGAACUUCUUUCUCUAUUUGGAAAAAUAUUUGGAGAACCCCAAUCUUGCUGUUAGCAAUGCAGCUGUUUCAGCUAAAGGCAGAGAGUUUUGGAUAAGAGUGAGUAAAAUUUAAUUCGAUUCGAAAAAAUAAUAAAAAAAUUUAAAUUUUGGAUUAUUCGAAUCGAGUUAAUUGAAUCAACUCGAUUUUUUUUUUCAAAUUUUGAGUUCAAGUUGAGUUAAAUUUUCAAAUUCGAAUAAUUUGAAUAAUACAAAUACCAAAUUAAUUAAAUUUAUAUUAUUCUUUAUUAUUUUAAUUUUUUUUUUAGAUUUUCCCCUCAAAUCUAGUUUACUUUGCCGCCUCUACCCCACCCCACCAUUUUCCCUUAAAUCAAAAUUUAAAAUCCCUAAAUCAAACCUAUCGGAUCAUUCAAAGUUUCAAACCCCCAAAUCAAAAUUCCUAAAUCAAGCCAUCCAUCCUUCUUCUUCAUCAGUUCAUUCAAACCCUCCAUUCUUCUUCUUCUUCUUCAAUCUUCAUCAGUUCAUUCAAAUUGCAAACCCCCCAAACUGAGCCUUAUCAGAAAAUAAGCUUUUGACAUGACGUAACACUAACAUGUUUUUUCAGUAUCAAGUUGCGUGAGCCUUAUCAAGGUGCGUUUGUCCUUAGAAGAUGAGUGAUUCAGAAUGAAAUGGUUCAACUCAAAAUUCAAAAAAUUCUUCUCCAAGUAAAGAUAAUCAAACAACAACCAAAGGAAGUGUUAGAAGAAAGAUUACUCCAAAAGUAGUUGGUUGGAACCAUUUCACCAAAUAUAUAAUUGAAGAGGGGGAGAAGAGAACGAGGUGCAAUGAUUGUUAUGUUACUUACAACAUGGAAUCAACUUCGAGUUCUACAACCAAUUUGAAUAAUCAUUUGAAGACAUGCUUAAAAAGACCUUGAGGGGUGGAUGUAAAGCCUACGGGAUUGGCACUUGGUGCCCAGGUGUGUCCUUGGUUGGAUUGGCUCGGUUAAGCAUUCUGGCAUGUCUUGGGUGGAUAAGCGCUUAUCUAUAUCUGUUUAUAUCAUUCAUCGAGCAGAUUUUCAAUGGUUAUAUGACAUGGUGAUGAUAUGUAAUUGUUAUUUGAUUAUGAUGUCUUGUUGAUGAAUUGUAUAUGUUGUAACACCCCCUUACCCAUAUUCGACGUCGGAACAGGAUACAAGGUGUUACCGGACUUAAACACAAACAAACAUACACUUUUGAGCUGUAAAUUUUCGUCCAAAUUAAAACCAUUUGCAAUUAAUCAUAAA